UCACUCGCUUGGAAUAUAUAUUAUGCAUAUCAAUCAAUGACGAGAGAGAAGACUAUCAACGAAUACUCCCCUAGUAGCUGCGACGUGAAGCGCGAAGAAGCUGCAUCAUAUAAAAAUCAUGCGCUCUUUGGCCCGUUCCGAGUUGUAGAUCUGGAGAAGUGCUUCCGCGCUGGACCGUGUAUAAGUCUCUUGGAACAGAGCGUCAUAGAGGGUGAGAAUCCCGUCUCUGACACGGACUACCAGUGCUUUGUGAUGCGCUCUCAAAGAGUCGAGUUGUUUGGGAAUGCAGCUCAAAAUGGGUGGUGAAUUCCAUUUAAAGGUAAAUAUUGGCGAGAGACCGAUAGCGAACAAGUUCCGUGAGGGAAAGAUGAAAAGCCCUUUGGAAAGAGAGUUAAACAGUACGUGAAAUUGUUGAAAGGGAAACGCUUGAAGUCAGUCGCGUUGUCCGGAACUCAGCCUUGCUUUUGCUUGGUGCACUUUCCGGUUGACGGGUCAGCAUCGAUUUUGACUGUUGGAAAAGGGCUGGAGUAAUGUGGCACCUCCGGGUGUGUUAUAGACUCUGGUCGCAUACGGCGGUCGGGAUUGAGGAACGCAGCGCGCCGCAAGGCAGGGGUUCGCCCACUUUCGCGCUUAGGAUGCUGGCAUAAUGGCUUUAAACGACCCGUCUUGAAACACGGACCAAGGAGUCUAACAUACCUGCGAGUGUUUGGGUGGAAAACCCGAGCGAGCAAUGAAAGUGAAAGUUGAGACCCCUGUCGUGGGGGGCAUCGACGCCCGGACCUGACGUUCUCUGACGGAUCCGCGGUAGAGCAUGUAUGUUGGGACCCGAAAGAUGGUGAACUAUGCCUGAAUAGGGUGAAGCCAGAGGAAACUCUGGUGGAGGCUCGUAGCGAUUCUGACGUGCAAAUCGAUCGUCAAAUUUGGGUAUAGGGGCGAAAGACUAAAUUCGAAACCCCUUU
This 959-nucleotide ribosomal RNA is filed under the name Ganoderma sp. RNAcentral's name for it is "partial large subunit ribosomal RNA". It matches the Rfam family "Eukaryotic large subunit ribosomal RNA", at positions 1 to 947 of the family's 3401-position model. Lineage: Eukaryota; Fungi; Basidiomycota; Agaricomycetes; Polyporales; Polyporaceae. The record is from RNAcentral.